This is a long non-coding RNA of Photinus pyralis (common eastern firefly), 464 nucleotides long. RefSeq lists it as uncharacterized. The transcript is spliced from 3 exons. Lineage: Eukaryota; Metazoa; Arthropoda; Insecta; Coleoptera; Lampyridae. The record is from RefSeq and is a predicted model, not a curated record.
GAACUGUAUUGUGAUUGUAGCCUGUGGAUUUAGAUAUUUCAGAAGACGUACAAGAUAAUAAUAUAGAUGUUGUGUAUGAAUCAUUACAUUUAAGCGACGAUGAGGACAAUAUAACAUGGAGGAGACACAUACCAUCCGAUUUACAGAAACCAAUUACUUCUAAUUUAAUUCAUUCAAAUGAAAAAGGAAGUGGGAAAAGAAAAAGUAAUGUGGAAGACAGUACACCUACACCAAAAAGAAGGCAAACAUUGCCUACCUCAAGGCGUCGUCCAACAACCCAAAUUAAGGCAUUAUCAAGAUCAGAAUUGGCAGAGAAGUACGAUUUGCUCCUUGACAAAAGAAUCGAUAUGGUCAAUUAUCAAAAUAAGAAAAUGGAAGAAGAACUAAAAAGUAUAGAACGUGAAAGAGAACUAAAAGUGGAAUUACUUAAAUUACAGAUUCAAGUAGAAAAGGAAAAAUUAAAG